RNAcentral lists this ribosomal RNA (449 nucleotides) under uncultured bacterium. RNAcentral describes it as "bacterial SSU rRNA". It matches the Rfam family "Bacterial small subunit ribosomal RNA", at positions 331 to 793 of the family's 1533-position model. The record is from RNAcentral.
CCAGACUCCUACGGGAGGCAGCAGUGGGGAAUAUUGGGCAGUGGGCGCAAGCCUGACCCAGCAACGCCGCGUGAAGGAAGAAGGCUUUCGGGUUGUAAACUUCUUUUAUGAGGGACGAAACAAAUGACGGUACCUCAUGAAUAAGCCACGGCUAACUACGUGCCAGCAGCCGCGGUAAUACGUAGGUGGCAAGCGUUAUCCGGAUUUACUGGGUGUAAAGGGCGUGUAGGCGGGACUGCAAGUCAGAUGUGAAAACCAUGGGCUCAACCUGUGGCCUGCAUUUGAAACUGUUUUUCUUGAGUACUGGAGAGGCAGACGGAAUUCCUAGUGUAGCGGUGAAAUGCGUAGAUAUUAGGAGGAACACCAGUGGCGAAGGCGGCCUGCUGGACUGCAACUGACGUUGAGGCUCGAAGGCGUGGGGAGCAAACAGGAUUAGAUAGCCCAGUAUG